CGUUGGUUUUACCAUUCAAGUUGUUUUGUGAUGUUGUGUUUGUUAUGUACUUUUUUAUUCAUGUAGCCUGCUGUUGUUUCAUUUAUGUUACGAAGCAUACUUCACCCCAUCUGCCCUGGUUGUAAAGCACUUUGGGUCAGCUUAUGCUGUUUUAAAUGUGAUAUAUAAAUAGAGAUGACUUGACUUGACUUUUUGGGGAGGUUGG
This is a long non-coding RNA of Sander lucioperca (pikeperch), 205 nucleotides long. RefSeq lists it as uncharacterized. The transcript has 3 exons. Lineage: Eukaryota; Metazoa; Chordata; Actinopteri; Perciformes; Percidae. The record is from RefSeq and is a predicted model, not a curated record.